AUUGAACGCUGGCGGCAUGCCUUACACAUGCAAGUCGAACGGUAACAGGUCUUCGGAUGCUGACGAGUGGCGAACGGGUGAGUAAUACAUCGGAACGUGCCUAGUAGUGGGGGAUAACUACUCGAAAGAGUGGCUAAUACCGCAUGAGAUCUACGGAUGAAAGCAGGGGAUCGCAAGACCUUGUGCUACUAGAGCGGCCGAUGGGAGAUUAGGUAGUUGGUGGGAUAAAAGCUUACCAAGCCGACGAUCUGUAGCUGGUCUGAGAGGACGAUCAGGCACACUGGGACUGAGACAGGGCCCAGGCUCCUACGGGAGGGAGCAGUGGGGAAUUUUGGACAAUGGGCGCAAGCCUGAUCCAGCAAUGCCGCGUGCAGGACGAAGGCCUUCGGGUUGUAAACUGCUUUUGUACGGAAAGAAAAGCCCUUGGUUAAUACCCUGGGGUCAUGACGGUACCGUAAGAAUAAGCACCGGCUAACUACGUGCCAGCAGCCGCGGUAA
This 498-nucleotide ribosomal RNA is filed under the name uncultured bacterium. RNAcentral describes it as "partial 16S ribosomal RNA". It matches the Rfam family "Bacterial small subunit ribosomal RNA", at positions 30 to 523 of the family's 1533-position model. The record is from RNAcentral.